This is a long non-coding RNA of Astatotilapia calliptera (eastern happy), 350 nucleotides long. Lineage: Eukaryota; Metazoa; Chordata; Actinopteri; Cichliformes; Cichlidae. The record is from Ensembl.
UCCAAACUAUACAGAGUUCAUUCUUAAAUUAGAACUCCACCCUCUUGUACAAAUAUGAUCACUGGCAAGUAACCAGCUUCUCACCUGACUGAAGCUGUCAGUGAAGCUUGACAGCCCUGAGUCUACCACAAUGGAAAACUGUGGUGUUGAACAGGAAGCCAUGAGCUUUCCUUUUGGGUGAGAAUGAUUCAUCUUUUUAUUCAAACAUUUUUGUGCCCUUCUUGUUUUUGUUUUUGUUGUUGUUGUUGUUUUUUAUGCAUCACUGAUUUGUAAUCUCAGCAGCACAAGGCUUAAACUGCAAGGUGUUCCUUAACCUAACCCACAGUUUGAGAAAGCGGUUUACUGUAAGG